AUUGAACGCUGGCGGCAGGCCUAACACAUGCAAGUCGAACGGAGUGGCGGACGGGUGAGUAAUGUCUGGGAAACUGCCUGAUGGAGGGGGAUAACUACUGGAAACGGGCGCUAAUACCGCAUACUAUCAGAUGAGCCUAGGUCGGAUUAGCUAGUUGGUGGGGUAAAGGCCUACGAAGGCGACGAUCCGUAACUGGUCUGAGAGGAUGAUCAGCAAAUCUGAAAAUGAGACACGGUCCAGAUUCCUACGGGAGGCAGCAGUGGGAAAUAUUGGACAAUGGGGGAAAGCCUGAUCCAGCCAUGCCGCGUGUGUGAAGAAGGUCUUCGGAUUGUAAAGAACUUUAAGUUGGGAGGCGUUACCAACAGAAUAAGCACCGGCUAACUGCGUGCAAGCCGCCGCGGUAAUC
Molecule: ribosomal RNA, 406 nt
Filed under: uncultured bacterium
Lineage: Bacteria
Description: partial 16S ribosomal RNA
Rfam family: Bacterial small subunit ribosomal RNA
Source: RNAcentral